UGAGCUUGAAUAAUUUUAUGUUUAAGAUAGGUAUCGUUAAGUUUAGAAGAUCAUUGAAAUAAGAUGUGUAUUUAAAUUAGAGAAGAGAUUACGUUUGAUUAACAAAAUGAAGCGUUUUGUGUUUAACUAAUAGACAAUUCGACACGGUUGAUGACAUUCCAUGGAGGUGUACAAUCAGAACACCACAGAAGAUCACCUGAUAGCAGACUAGCCUAUCGCAGUUUCAGACGAAGAUCUAUGAAUUGUGAGAAUGGAUGAUUAGCAGAGCAUAGCAGAGUUUAAACCGUGAUGAGCAAUAACGAUCUUGAUGAACAAUUACUGAUUUUGAUGAACCAGACUGAUAGACUCUGGGAAAGUCGGAGGGAGUUAAGAGGGAGAGAGAUCGGAGAUCCGAUGUCUUUCUCGGGUCAGUGCAGUCUUAUAAGUUUGUUUCAGAGCAGUGCUUAUAACAGAGUCCAGUAUGCCGGUUCCAUCCGGAUGCUUUAAUCUUUCCAGUCAUAAGUAUUCCAGUUGCUCUGAACCGACACAUCGUGUAGUUUACCGGGCAAGUCUUCCAUUCCAUAAUCUAAAGAACCGUGACUAAGUUUCCGGGUAGAAGUAAGCUAACGACGAUAAGAUUCCCGAUCUCCCUCUCACUUGAAGGACCAUUAUACGGAUUGAAGUUGUUCUUGAGGUCAAUAGACCCGAAUCUUCCUACUCAGAACGUGCUGCCUUUGCCGAUACCUGCUAGAUUAAUUGAUUCUCCGUCAUCA
This is a long non-coding RNA of Bolinopsis microptera, 752 nucleotides long. RefSeq lists it as uncharacterized. The transcript has 3 exons. The record is from RefSeq and is a predicted model, not a curated record. NCBI's taxonomy places the organism in Eukaryota, Metazoa, Ctenophora, Tentaculata, Lobata, Bolinopsidae.